GUGCACCAGUCGCGAAUUUUCACAAUGGGGGAAACCCUGAUGGAGCGACGCCGCGUGGAGGAUGAAGGCGUUUUCGUCGUAAACUCCUGUCAAACGGGAACAAGAAAGUGAUAGUACCGUUAGAGGAAGAGGCGGCUAACUCUGUGCCAGCAGCCGCGGUAAUACAGAGGCCUCAAGCGUUGUUCGGAUUCAUUGGGCGUAAAGGGUGCGUAGGUGGCUUGGUAAGUUGAAGGUGAAAUCUCGGGGCUUAACUCCGAAACUGCCUUCAAUACUGCCGAGCUCGAGGAUUGUAGAGGAGAAUGGAAUUCACGGUGUAGCAGUGAAAUGCGUAGAUAUCGUGAGGAAGACCAGUGGCGAAGGCGAUUCUCUGGGCAAUUCCUGACACUGAGGCACGAAGGCUAGGGGAGCAAACGGGAUUAGAUACCCGUGUAGU
RNAcentral lists this ribosomal RNA (433 nucleotides) under uncultured organism. Its description in RNAcentral is "bacterial SSU rRNA". It matches the Rfam family "Bacterial small subunit ribosomal RNA", at positions 346 to 794 of the family's 1533-position model. The record is from RNAcentral.